GUGAGUCAUCGAAUCUUUGAACGCACCUUGCGCUCCUUGGUAUUCCGAGGAGCAUGCCUGUUUGAGUGUCAUUAAAUUCUCAACCUCACCAGUUUUGUAAUGAGACAGGUGAAGGCUUGGAUGUGGGGGUUUUGCAGGCUGCCUCAGUGCUGGUCUGCUCCCCUGAAAUGCAUUAGCGAGCUCAUAUUGAGCUUCCAUCUAUUGGUGUGAUAAUUAUCUACGCCGUGAAAUGGACUCAUGCUUGCUUCUAACCGUCCGCAAGGACAAUUUACUUUGACCAAUUUGACCUCAAAUCAGGUAGGACUACCCGCUGAACUUAAGCAUAUCAAUAAGCGGAGGA
This 340-nucleotide unclassified non-coding RNA is filed under the name Psathyrella sp. RNAcentral's name for it is "partial contains 5.8S ribosomal RNA, internal transcribed spacer 2, and large subunit ribosomal RNA". The stretch from base 1 to 71 matches the Rfam family "5.8S ribosomal RNA", at positions 84 to 154 of the family's 154-position model. Lineage: Eukaryota; Fungi; Basidiomycota; Agaricomycetes; Agaricales; Psathyrellaceae. The record is from RNAcentral.